CUUUUACGACGGAGCCUAAGAUAUUCUUUGUCUUGUCGGUGAGUGAGUUACAGUCGGAUGACCAAGUGAAAUAUAGGGGUGCAACGAGGAUUUGGAGGCUUCUGAGACUUGAACUUAGGGUACUGGUGUAAACUUCCUCGGAGAAGUGCGCAGCAGCUAAUGAUAUUUCGGGAUUGGAGUCUGGGCCCCAGUGAGAUUCGUACUAAGCGGCCUGACUGAAGGCCGCAUGCGUUCUAGUUCCUGAGUCCCCGCGUGGGUAGGUUUUUACAGCAGGGUUUGCAGCCUUUUGUGCUGUUCCGAAGGUACUAGAGUCACCGAAAGAGACAUCCUAUUAUAUGCACGUUCACAAGGACAAUGGCGCCAUUGUUCUUCGCGUCUUCAAAGCAGCUACAAGAAGAAACCAAGGGCCAGUGACACAAGAACUUGCGAGAGAUGCCAGUCCGCCUGUGAAGAUCCUGCAGCAGGAGUGCAUAGCCAGUGACACAAGACGUGCGAAUGAAAACUAGAUGUGACCAUCCAGAAAAAGCAUAGACAAAAAAAUGCAGUCUUAGUACUGGGAUGUUUGAGAUGGGGUCUAUCUACAUGUCUCUAGCUGUCCCUAUCAGGACAGCAUCUGGUGUGGCCUGCAGAGUUGAUUCCUGUACUUUUUUUUUUUUGUGGGCUGUAUGUAAAUGGAUUGUUUUGACAAUCCAUUCGACAGUGUUCUCUUCUGUGAAGGUCAUAGGUGAGCUGAUUGACAGACACAGCUGUACAGACUGAAUGCAAUCCUGACUAUAAAGCUGCAGUUCAUCAUUAUGAGCUAUUUCCUUAUUCUGGCAGUGAUUGAAAUAAAAUGGGGAGUAUUGAAAUAAAAAACAUUCAAUUGCAAA
RNAcentral lists this long non-coding RNA (869 nucleotides) under Mus musculus (house mouse). RNAcentral's name for it is "small nucleolar RNA host gene 5". Lineage: Eukaryota; Metazoa; Chordata; Mammalia; Rodentia; Muridae. The record is from RNAcentral.